CUGGUCCCGCCCCUGCGGGCAGAGCCCCGCCUCUUUCCGCCUCACCCUUUGGGAGUAGGAGUGUGCGGCUGGCUCGUCCCGCCCCUACCCCUGAGUGACAGGACCGUGGACAGCAACAUUUCCAGCCGGCCACGAAGUUUGUCGGCCCUUGCCUUGGCAGAGCUGAGUAAGAAAAAUCACCAACAAUAUUAUUUUUGGUAUUUGGAAUUGAAUUUGCCAGGAAUGCAAGCACAGCUACCUAAGUAAAGACCUUGGCUUUGGAAACAUCUUAUCCCUUGGCAGCUUUCCAGAGUUUAGACUUGGCAGCAUCAAAGACACAACGCAAGCAAUAUGAAAGAGAAAAACAAUUUGGUUGGAUAGCUCUCCUCCAUGCAGUCAUUCAUGAUCCAGGCUGUUAUCAUCUUCAGCACGUCAUGUUCAGAGUUAACCCUAGAGGUCAUCUCCAUUUCAUCUGGAUAAAUGAGUAUACAACGAAAGUUUUUUAGCAGGCAUUUUGGAGAUCAAAGAUGGGUAAAAAAGAUGCUUCUACUAUAAAACUUCCUGUUGAUCAAUACCGAAAACAAAUUGUCAUCCUAACAGGUGUGAGACAUUAUCUCAUUGUGGUUGGAUUUGCACUUAGGACCUUUCCAUGUACCUGUUUGUCAUUUUCUUCAUUUUCUUUGGAGAAAUGUCUGUUCAGAUCUUUGACCAUAUUCUAGUCAGGUAAACAAGAUUACAAAAAAACUAAACCUAUUUUACGAGCAACCAAAUUAAAAGCAGAAGCAAAGAAAACAGCAGUAGGCAUAAAGAAUACCAGUGUUUUAUCUGCUUAAGAGGGAUAAAUGCAACUGAGAAUGAUGUUAGCAGAUAUUAAUUUAAUGUGCCAACACAAUGAAGCUCAACAAAUUGCAUUUACAUUAUUGCCCAUGUCAAUCUUUUGCCAGGAAGUUGGCCUUGUACUUGCAGCUAUAUUGGCACUACUACUGGCUUUCUAUGCUUUCUUUUAUCUCAGACUCACAACGGAUGUUGACGCUGAUCUGGACCAAGAUGAAGAUUAGCUAAGCAGCAAUCAAUGCAUGAAAGGGAAAUAACUAUGAAAGCACGUUUUGGGACCAAAACUUUCAAUACUGAAACUGCAACAUCUUUAUUUAAUUCUCUCUGCUGAUAUUUUCAGUUUCCAGAAAAAAUAGUUGCACAGGUUAUCAAGAAAAGACCCUUACCUAGCAGUGCAGUAUAAUAUGUGCUCCUGGAUACUUUUAUAUAUCAUUCUGCAUUGACAGACACUCUAUAGAUGAUACAUUUAGAUAAAAUGGAAACCAGACCCCAAAUUUUUCAAAUGUUGUUGCCAAUUAGUGUGUGUAAUUCCAUCACUUACAGAAUUACUAAGGCUAUUUUUGUUCUAUAUACAUCCUAAGUAAAAGUAUAUAUUCUUAUUUACAGAAACAUACUCAAAUCGCAUUCAGAAAGAACAGAAAGUCAUGGGAAAUUUUUUAUUUUACAACAAAGACCCUCUCGCUUUCUAGGCGUAUUUUAUAUCAUUAGAGCGACUAUCUGCACAUACAUCUACAGUAAUCUUUUUCCUUCUUUGCCAACUGUUCAGUGCACAUGUGCUCCAUCAGAAGUGGCACCUGGAUGACAGAAGCUCAAAGAGUCACAUAUGUCUCUAAAAUAGAGUUCUUUUCCUCUUGGGCUGUCUGAACUGGUGUAAAUAGAAAGUUCAGUUGAUCUUGAUUUUAAUUAACUUAUUACUCUAUUAAUAUAACCUUGAAAUUCUAUUUUAAUUAUGUCAUUCUGGCUGCUUGUAGUAUCAGUUUGGCCCUCUUGUUAGGGAGAUAUGUAACAAUCUGUUAUUUAAUUGUGCAGUCUUUUUCACAUAAUAGUAAUAGCAAAAAUCCUACCUACUCAGAAUCAUCUUCUUAGGUUGUCUCCUAAAUCUGAAUGAUACAAUUGUUUUAUAAAAUUGCAUUUUGUCUCUUGAGAGUUAAUCAGUUAAAACUCUUUUAGGGAGACAAUAAAUAAUAGAAGAAAAUAUAGGCCUCAUAUUAUUUUCAUAUGUAAUUACCUGUUUAUAUAAUUUUUCAAUGUAUUUUGCAUUUGUGGGAGCAUAAUGACCUGUACAUUCAACAUUUUUACUGGUAAUUCAGUUUUUAAAUAUGUUUUUACAACAUGUGAGCUUAGAAACUGGAAAAUACCUGUCUACAGAAAGUUAUUAGCUACUACCUUAUAUAAAGAUGCAUAGAAAAUGAAAUUGUUGGAAACGUGCACAAAGUGUUUUAUAUAUAUACUUUGUAUUUAUGAAGAAGAAAUAAAAUAUUAAGAUUGUUUCAUACUAGCCAAGAGAAGAAAUCUUUGGGAAGUAUCUGAGGAGUAUAGAGGACUUUAUAAGCACUGUUUCUAAAAGAUAUUCUUUGGUACUUUUGCAAAAAGUCGAAUGUGACUGUAGCAUUAUGUUCUGUAGAAUUUUUUCAAGUAGCAUAAUUUAUUUCAUUGGUGUGAAAACAGCCAAAGGUUCCAAUAUCCUCACAAAUCAUUUAUGCCAAACAUCUGAGGGCAAAAUUUAGCCAGUGUUAUUUACUAGAUUCUUCCCCUUGAACUCACAAACUCAAGAGACAGACCAAGAGUUCUUAUAUACUCACCACAGUGGACCAAUCCAAGUGGCAUUUUUAGGAAAGGUUGCAGCAUUUAAUGCCAUGUGGUAUGUCUGUUCGUCAAGUGGGUGGCAAGGGAAUAUCCAAGCUGGCAUUUUGGAUAUGAUGGGCCUUUUACUAUCCUGAGUGACAUGCCACAUGUCAAGAAAUACUGCUUUCCGCCCCCCACACCCAUCACAUUUACGUGAGCAAUUUUCAUUUAGUUAUUUCCCUUUCCAUAUGGUGUUAAAAACAGUCAUAUUAAAUAAAGAUUAUUUCUAGUUUUCAGUGGUAAUUUAAAUGAGAGGGUAUGUAAUAAUUGCUUCUUAGAUACUUAUCCAAAUGAAGUAUAACAGAGUUUACAGUAUUUAAAAUAGGUGAUUAUGCUCUUGGAAAUGCCUUGAAAAUUCAUCAUCCUGAAAAAAACUUUACCAUUCUGUUCCACCCUUGAGGUGUUUUUUGGGGAAAAAUGUUUUUGAUAGUAAUAAUUAUUAGUCUAAAUACAGUAUAAUUAGAGGCAAAUUUCAUUGCCUAGUUUUAUUAAUAUCCUGUGUCUACGGUCCAUUCAUAUGACUGAUUGAUUUAUGAUGGCUCCAGAGAACCGUAAAUUUCAAAGGCUAAACUCCCUGAUUUCAGUAAAUAGCAGGUAAAGUGACACAAUAUAUGUUUACACAACACUGUUUUCACGAAAUGCAAAUUUUGCAAAACUCACAUUAACUGGGAAGCAGCCAACCCUCUGUAGAGAAAUCCCAGAUUGAAAGUCUGGUUUGAAUCUUUGAAGACAGAAAGGUGAUAUCCGGCCUGCUGUUUUAAAGGGACAACACUUUUGAAUACCGAGUGGUGUUUGGCAUAAAUCUGAGACUGGCACCGGAUACAAAUUUUAGACAUGGGUAUUUUCCCUCCAACAAUUCACUGCUCAGAGUAAUUCAGAAGACAAAAACAGAAAAAAAUCAUAAUGGUUUUUUAAAUGAUAGAAUCUGUUUGUUAACAUACUCAGCAACAUAAAUUUCAACUAAUCCAAUAGACUUAAAAUAUAGCCUAUGGAAUACUGUGAUUGAAGUUUGAAGGCUUGCUGUUCUUAUUUUGCAUGUAAGUUUAGACAGGGUAAAGAAUGUAUAAAUUCAUUUGAGACGAGAGAGAGUAUUGUAAAAAUAUAACCUCAUCUAGAAUUUGUUUAAAAACAAGCAAAAGCCUAUUUUAGUACAAAUGUAGGAUGGGUUGUUGUUUUAAAGUGGCAAAAUACUUCAGGAUUUUCUCUUUUUAAAGACAGAAGAAAUACUAUCACCCCAACCAAUGACUGUAAGAUCUUGAGAGUAUGUUCUUAUUUAUUUCUGUAAUUUCGGUAGUGUAGUCAUCUUCAUAUAAAUUUAAUAAAUGCAUGUUAAAAUUUAAGUUAAUGUCUUUUAGUCCUCUCAGAGUCUGUCACAGUUAUUUGUGUAAAGUAGAUGAUCAAAAAUUGUUUGAAUUUAAUAAAUAAAAAUUAAAAUCACAAUAUCAGUCAA
Molecule: non-coding RNA, 4108 nt
Organism: Callithrix jacchus (white-tufted-ear marmoset)
Lineage: Eukaryota; Metazoa; Chordata; Mammalia; Primates; Cebidae
Source: RefSeq, a predicted model, not a curated record